GCCCGUGUAGCUCAGUGGGAGAGCGCCCCGUUCACACCGGGGAGGUUCGCAGGUUCGACCCCUGCCGCGGGCA
RNAcentral lists this transfer RNA (73 nucleotides) under Micromonospora sp. C51. RNAcentral describes it as "tRNA-Val". It matches the Rfam family "tRNA". From Rfam's summary of the family: Transfer RNA (tRNA) molecules are approximately 80 nucleotides in length. Their secondary structure includes four short double-helical elements and three loops (D, anti-codon, and T loops). Lineage: Bacteria; Bacillati; Actinomycetota; Actinomycetes; Micromonosporales; Micromonosporaceae. The record is from RNAcentral.